CACUGUGAAGCUUACCUAGCAUUAACCUUUUAAGUUGAAGACUGAAAGCAUUAACCUUUCCACAGUGA
Molecule: transfer RNA, 68 nt
Filed under: Tarsius dentatus (Dian's tarsier)
Lineage: Eukaryota; Metazoa; Chordata; Mammalia; Primates; Tarsiidae
Description: tRNA-Lys
Source: RNAcentral